Molecule: ribosomal RNA, 492 nt
Filed under: uncultured bacterium
Lineage: Bacteria
Description: partial 16S ribosomal RNA
Rfam family: Bacterial small subunit ribosomal RNA
Source: RNAcentral
AGUGAACGCUGGCGGUAGGCCUAACACAUGCAAGUCGAGCGGCAGCACAGUAAGAGCUUGCUCUUACGGGUGGCGAGUGGCGGACGGGUGAGGAAUACAUAGGCAUCUACUUUUUCGUGGGGGAUAACGUAGGGAAAGUUACGCUAAUACCGCAUACGACCUACGGGUGAAAGCAGGGGAUCUUCGCAGCUUUCGCGACUGAAUGAGCCGAUGUCGGAUUAGCUAGUUGGGGGGGUAAAGGCACACCAAGGCGACGAUCCGUAGCUGGUCUGAGAGGAUGAUCAGCCACACUGGAACUGAGACACGGUCCAGACUCCUACGGGAGGCAGCAGUGGGGAAUCUUGGACAAUGGGCGCAAGCCUGAUCCAGCCAUACCGCGUGGGUGAAGAAGGCCUUCGGAUUGUAAAGCCCUUUUGUUAGGAAAGAAAAUCAGCAUGUUAAUCCCCCGCUGUCUUGACGGUACCCAAAGAAUAAGCACCGGCUAACUUCGUG